CAGUGUUACGGCUGUUUUAGAAUUUGUCUAGCAGGUUUUCUGGUUUUUACGAGACUCCCCCA
Small nuclear RNA from Gorilla gorilla gorilla (western lowland gorilla), 62 nucleotides. Its record names the gene U7. It matches the Rfam family "U7 small nuclear RNA". Rfam says of the family: Animal histone pre-mRNAs are spliced by a different mechanism than nuclear pre-mRNAs and self-splicing introns. This processing involves the U7 snRNP, which contains only one RNA species: U7. The record is from Ensembl. NCBI's taxonomy places the organism in Eukaryota, Metazoa, Chordata, Mammalia, Primates, Hominidae.